CCCUCCGAAGUUUCCCUCAGGAUAGCUGGUGCAUUUUAAAAUUAUGUUAAAUAAUCUUAUCUGGUAAAGCGAAUGAUUAGAGGCCUUAGGGUCGAAACGACCUUAACCUAUUCUCAAACUUUAAAUGGGUAAGAACCUCACCUUUCUUGAUAUGAAGGUUGAGGUUAUGAUAUAAUGUGCCCAGUGGGCCACUUUUGGUAAGCAGAACUGGCGCUGUGGGAUGAACCAAACGUAAUGUUACGGUGCCUAAAUUAACAACUCAUGCAGAUACCAUGAAAGGCGUUGGUUGCUUAAAACAGCAGGACGGUGGACAUGGAAGUCGUAAUCCGCUAAGGAGUGUGUAACAACUCACCUGCCGAAGCAACUAGCCCUUAAAAUGGAUGGCGCUUAAGUUGUAUACCUAUACAUUACCGCUAAAGUACAUGAUUUAUAAUACAAUUUCGGUUGUUUUUAUAAAUUUUGAAACUUUAGUGAGUAGGAGGGUACAAUGGUGUGCUUAGAAGUGUUUGGCGUAAGCCUGCAUGGAGCCGCCAUUGGUACAGAUCUUGGUGGUAGUAGCAAAUAAUCGAAUGAGACCUUGGAGGACUGAAGUGGAGAAGGGUUUCGUGUGAACAGUGGUUGAUCACGAGUUAGUCGGUCCUAAGUUCAAGGCGAAAGCCGAAAAUUUUCAAGUUUUAA
This 678-nucleotide ribosomal RNA is filed under the name Rhagoletis cerasi. RNAcentral's name for it is "partial 28S ribosomal RNA". It matches the Rfam family "Eukaryotic large subunit ribosomal RNA", at positions 957 to 1583 of the family's 3401-position model. Lineage: Eukaryota; Metazoa; Arthropoda; Insecta; Diptera; Tephritidae. The record is from RNAcentral.